GCCGGGGUGCCCGAGCGGCAAGGGGACCGAGGCUGCGUCGACGGUCAGGCGCCAUACGUCGCCUCGCGGGUUCAAAUCCCGCCCCCGGCA
RNAcentral lists this transfer RNA (90 nucleotides) under Thermoplasmata archaeon. Its description in RNAcentral is "tRNA-OTHER". It matches the Rfam family "tRNA". Rfam says of the family: Transfer RNA (tRNA) molecules are approximately 80 nucleotides in length. RNAcentral also lists the same sequence under 1 other name. The record is from RNAcentral. Lineage: Archaea; Methanobacteriati; Thermoplasmatota; Thermoplasmata.